ACAAACUUGGUCAUUUAGAGGAAGUAAAAGUCGUAACAAGGUCUCCGUUGGUGAACCAGCGGAGGGAUCAUUACAGAGUAUUCUACUCACCAAACCCAUGUGAACUUACCUUUGUUGCUUCGGCGGGCAUCUGCCCGCCGGGGGUAUAACCAAACUCUUGAAUCUUCGUGAGAAUUCUGAAGUAAAAUGAUAAAUCAAUCAAAACUUUCAACAACGGAUCUCUUGGUUCUGGCAUCGAUGAAGAACGCAGC
RNAcentral lists this unclassified non-coding RNA (251 nucleotides) under uncultured fungus. Its description in RNAcentral is "partial contains small subunit ribosomal RNA, internal transcribed spacer 1, and 5.8S ribosomal RNA". The stretch from base 1 to 73 matches the Rfam family "Eukaryotic small subunit ribosomal RNA", at positions 1759 to 1831 of the family's 1831-position model. Lineage: Eukaryota; Fungi. The record is from RNAcentral.